UACCAGCUCUCCGAGUGGUGGGGAUGCUUAUUGGGCCUAAAGCAUUCGUAGCCUGCUUGACAAGUCCUCCGUUAAAUCCAACGAUUCAAUCGUUGGGCUGCGGGGGAUACUGUCCGGCCAGGGGGCGGGAGAGGCCGACGGUAUCCUCGGGGUAGGGGUGAAAUCCUAUAAUCCCGGGAGGACCACCAGUGGCGAAGGCUGUCGGCUAGAACGCGCUCGACGGUGAGGGAUGAAAGCUGGGGGAGCGAACCGGAUUAGAUACCCGGGUAGUCCCAGCUGUAAACGAUGCAGGCUAGGUGUUGGCGCGGCUACGUGCCGCUCCAGUGCCGCAGGGAAGCCGUUAAGCCUGCCGCCUGGGAAGUACGGCCGCAAGGCUUAAACUUAAAGGAAUUGGGCGGGGGAGCACCACAAGGUGUGAAGCUUGCGGUUU
This 430-nucleotide ribosomal RNA is filed under the name uncultured archaeon. RNAcentral's name for it is "bacterial SSU rRNA". It matches the Rfam family "Archaeal small subunit ribosomal RNA", at positions 474 to 903 of the family's 1478-position model. The record is from RNAcentral.